Molecule: ribosomal RNA, 619 nt
Filed under: uncultured bacterium
Lineage: Bacteria
Description: bacterial SSU rRNA
Rfam family: Bacterial small subunit ribosomal RNA (bases 1-536)
Source: RNAcentral
CCUACGGGAGGCAGCAGUAAGGAAUAUUGGACAAUGCUCGCAAGAGUGAUCCAGCCAUGCCGCGUGCAGGAAGAAUGCCCUAUGGGUAGUAAACUGCUUUUGAACUAGAGAAAACCCCCAGUACGUGUACUGGGCUGAUAGUAUAGUUAGAAUAAGCAUCGGCUAACUUCGUGCCAGCAGCCGCGGUAAGACGAAGGAUGCAAGCGUUAUCCGGAUUCAUUGGGUUUAAAGGGAGCGUAGGUGGACUGAUAAGUCAGUGGUGAAAUCUCCGAGCUUAACUCGGAAAUUGCCAUUGAUACUGUUGGUCUUGAGUACAGUUGCUGUGGGCGGAAUAUGACAUGUAGUGGUGAAAUACAUAGAGAUGUCAUAGAACACCGAUUGCGAAGGCAGCUCACAAAGCUGUAACUGACACUGAGGCUCGAAAGUGCGGGGAUCAAACAGGAUUAGAUACCCUGGUAGUCCGCACCGUAAACGAUGAUUACUGCUGCUAGGGGGCAACCGUUUAGUGGCUUAGCGAAAGCGAGUAGUUAAUUACUACGUUGGAGGUACGCGGCGACGAGACGACGAAGAGAGUUAGACGGCGNGAGGACGNGCGACGGACGACGACGAGGGAGGUAGG